RNAcentral lists this ribosomal RNA (230 nucleotides) under Staphylococcus aureus. RNAcentral describes it as "partial 16S ribosomal RNA". It matches the Rfam family "Bacterial small subunit ribosomal RNA", at positions 527 to 756 of the family's 1533-position model. Lineage: Bacteria; Bacillati; Bacillota; Bacilli; Caryophanales; Staphylococcaceae. The record is from RNAcentral.
GUAGGUGGCAAGCGUUAUCCGGAAUUAUUGGGCGUAAAGCGCGCGUAGGCGGUUUUUUAAGUCUGAUGUGAAAGCCCACGGCUCAACCGUGGAGGGUCAUUGGAAACUGGAAAACUUGAGUGCAGAAGAGGAAAGUGGAAUUCCAUGUGUAGCGGUGAAAUGCGCAGAGAUAUGGAGGAACACCAGUGGCGAAGGCGACUUUCUGGUCUGUAACUGACGCUGAUGUGCGA